GAUGAACGCUGGCGGCGUGCCUAAUACAUGCAAGUCGAGCGAACAGACGAGGAGCUUGCUCCUCUGACGUCGGCGGCGGACGGGUGAGUAACACGUGGAUAACCUACCUAUAAGACUGGGAUAACUUCGGGAAACCGGAGCUAAUACCGGAUAAUAUAUUGAACCGCAUGGUUCAAUAGUGAAAGACGGUUUUGCUUUCACUUAUAGAUGGAUCCGCGCCGCAUUAGCUAGUUGGUAAGGUAACGGCUUACCAAGGCAACGAUGCGUAGCCGACCUGAGAGGGUGAUCGGCCACACUGGAACUGAGCCACGGUCCAGACUCCUACGGGAGGCAGCAGUAGGGAAUCUUCCGCAAUGGGCGAAAGCCUGACGGAGCAACGCCGCGUGAGUGAUGAAGGUCUUCGGAUCGUAAAACUCUGUUAUUAGGGAAGAACAAAUGUGUAAGUAACUAUGCACGUCUUGACGGUACCUAAUCAGAAAGCCACGGCUAACUACGUG
Molecule: ribosomal RNA, 497 nt
Filed under: uncultured bacterium
Lineage: Bacteria
Description: partial 16S ribosomal RNA
Rfam family: Bacterial small subunit ribosomal RNA
Source: RNAcentral